GCGGGUAUAGCUCAGUGGGAGAGCACAUGCUUAGCAUGCACGAGGUCCUGGGGUUCAAGCCUCAGUCCCUCCA
Molecule: transfer RNA, 73 nt
Filed under: Camelus bactrianus (Bactrian camel)
Lineage: Eukaryota; Metazoa; Chordata; Mammalia; Artiodactyla; Camelidae
Also listed under: 2 other names
Rfam family: tRNA
About the family: Transfer RNA (tRNA) molecules are approximately 80 nucleotides in length. Their secondary structure includes four short double-helical elements and three loops (D, anti-codon, and T loops).
Source: Rfam by way of RNAcentral